AUUGAACGCUGGCGGCAGGCCUAACACAUGCAAGUCGAACGAGUGGCGGACGGGUGAGUAAUGUCUGGGAAACUGCCUGAUGGAGGGGGAUAACUACUGGAAACGGUAGCUAAUACCGCAUACCAUCGGAUGUGCCCAGAUGGGAUUAGCUAGUUGGUGGGGUAAAGGCUCACCUAGGCGACGAUCCCUAGCUGGUCUGAGAGGACGACCAGCCACACUGGUACUGAGACACGGCCCAGACUCCUACGGGAGGCAGAAGUGGGGAAUGUUGGACAAUGGGGGCAAGCCUGAGCAAGCCAUCCCGGGUGUAUGAUGAAGGCCUUCGGGUUGUAAAGUACUUUUGGCAGAGAAGCGGUAUCUGCAGAAUAAGCACCGGCUAACUACGUGCCAGCAGCCGCGGUAAUAC
This 406-nucleotide ribosomal RNA is filed under the name uncultured bacterium. RNAcentral describes it as "partial 16S ribosomal RNA". It matches the Rfam family "Bacterial small subunit ribosomal RNA", at positions 30 to 526 of the family's 1533-position model. The record is from RNAcentral.